UACGUAGGUGGCGAGCGUUGUCCGGAUUUACUGGGCGUAAAGGGAGCGUAGGCGGACUUUUAAGUGAGAUGUGAAAUACUCGGGCUCAACUUGAGUGCUGCAUUUCAAACUGGAAGUCUAGAGUGCAGGAGAGGAGAAUGGAAUUCCUAGUGUAGCGGUGAAAUGCGUAGAUAUUAGGAGGAACACCGGUGGCGAAGGCGGCUUACUGGGCUUAAACUGACGCUGAGGCACGAAAGCGUGGGUAGCAAACAGG
Molecule: ribosomal RNA, 253 nt
Filed under: uncultured Clostridiaceae bacterium
Lineage: Bacteria; Bacillati; Bacillota; Clostridia; Eubacteriales; Clostridiaceae
Description: partial 16S ribosomal RNA
Rfam family: Bacterial small subunit ribosomal RNA
Source: RNAcentral